UGUUUGAAACUCGAACAGAAAAAAAUUCAGAUGUUUUUCACGCCGAUGAGAAAAUGUCUGAAAAUUAACAUGGAGCGGGAAUGCACAGAAAAUAACAGAAAAUUCCGAUGUUAUGGAGCGGAAUGCACAGAAAAUAACAGAAAAUUCAGAUGUCACGGAGCGGAUCAAAUUGGAGUCACUGAGAGAAUGCCCUAAAAAAACACGUGAAAAAAAAUUCAAAUUUCAUGGAGCGUAACUAAUCGGAGUAAACCAUGGUAUUCAAACCAUGUGAACCACUGUAUUUCUCGUACUGAGUUCAUUUUAAAGGGAGGGAUGGUAUUUAUUCAAAUUUCAAACCAAUUGGAGUAACCAUGGUAUUCCAACCAUGUAAACCACGGUAUGUAAACCAUGUAAUUAUUUGGGCAAAGGCAGCCGCCAUUGUAUGUGUCGCAUUUGCAUGUUUAAGAUCAUAACCCUAACCUCUGUCAGACCAAUUAAUGUUCUUUUAUUUUUUUCUGCCAGUGCUUUGUUCUGUCUUUCUGUUAUUUCUUUCAUUAUUUUUUUUUCCCAGACAAUGUUUUUUUCUGUUGUUUCAUUAUUUCUGGUUUUUCCUUUUUCUAGAGUGUUACAGUGUGCACACUAGUAGUCUGCCUGUCAUGAUCUUUAUCUAUUUUUUUUUUCUUUUCUUUUUUUUCAUAUUUUGUGUGGUAGAAGAUGAAGAGGAAAAGCAGAGGAGUUAGGGAUCAAGAAAUGGCAGCUGAUUGAGGGAAAAACUCUUCUUCCAGCCGGUCAUGGCACUGACAAUGGAUUCACGGGUGGGACCAUUUCUCAGAGUAGGCCUUGCUAAGCUCUUCACGACUCCUUCUGAACCUGCUCACUGGUUUGUUUGCUGGUUGUCAUAACACAGAGAAGCUGCAAUCAUUGAAGUUGACAUGUUUGGUGAGGUUGACAUAAAUGAUUACAAACAGGACCUGGUGGCAGCAUGUUGCAGCGAAAAACAGUUUGAUAAGAAGGAUCAGGAUCUUAAUAAAAGCAGCAACAGAUGGAAUUAGGCUUCAAUCAUUUAUGUAGUUAAAUUUUGGUCAAGCAUAUUGACUUGAUAGCAUUGUAAUAUGUACAAAGAUAGUGCUUAAUAAAAAAUAUUGGAAGGGGGUUAAAAACCCCUUCUAAAGACUGAAGGGAAUAAUCAUUGGCCAUGGUUAUUCCUUGAGGUCGUGUUUUCUGGCACCUUAAAGAAUGGUCAAUAGGCCAAGAUCAUUCUUUAA
Cryptomeria japonica (Japanese cedar) is the source of this 1244-nucleotide long non-coding RNA. RefSeq lists it as uncharacterized. The transcript is spliced from 4 exons. The record is from RefSeq and is a predicted model, not a curated record. NCBI's taxonomy places the organism in Eukaryota, Viridiplantae, Streptophyta, Pinopsida, Cupressales, Cupressaceae.